GACGAACGCUGGCGGCGUGCUUAACACAUGCAAGUCGAACGGAAAGGCCCUGCUUUUGUGGGGUGCUCGAGUGGCGAACGGGUGAGUAACACGUGAGUAACCUGCCCUUGACUUUGGGAUAACUUCAGGAAACUGGGGCUAAUACCGGAUAGGAGCUCCUGCUGCAUGGUGGGGGUUGGAAAGUUUCGGCGGUUGGGGAUGGACUCGCGGCUUAUCAGCUUGUUGGUGGGGUAGUGGCUUACCAAGGCUUUGACGGGUAGCCGGCCUGAGAGGGUGACCGGCCAGAUUGGGAAUGAGGUAACGGCCCGAAUUCUACGGGGGGGAGGAGGGGGGAAUUUUGGAAAAUGGGCGGAAGCCUGAUGCAGACAAGCCGGCUGGCGGAUGAACGGCUUUGGGGUUGAAAACCUCUUAGACUGUGAAGAAGGGUGAGUGGGCGUAAUGGGUAAAGAAGCACCGGCUAACUACGUG
This 468-nucleotide ribosomal RNA is filed under the name uncultured bacterium. RNAcentral's name for it is "partial 16S ribosomal RNA". It matches the Rfam family "Bacterial small subunit ribosomal RNA", at positions 28 to 507 of the family's 1533-position model. The record is from RNAcentral.